UCAAAUUUUAAUGAAUGAAAUACGUACAUGAUUUUAAUUGAAAGAAUGACCAAUCGAGGCACAGAAAAUCAUGAACAUAAAUCACAUAAACUUCUUCAAAUUGAUGUAAUCAUUUUAGCUAAACAAAAUUAAGCUAUCAUUGUUAAUGAAAAAACAACAGAUCAAAUUGCAAACAUGUUGAACAACAAUAAAUAUUAAGGAAGAAAAAUCUCUGAAAUAAUUUCGACAAUCCUCUAAAAAUUGAUCAUGAUGGCUUAUCCCUAUCUCGUAAUUGCUCCUCAAGGUGGCUAGCCAAAAGAGAAUUUUCUUAAAGAAUUGCUAGCUAAAUGGAAGGAAAAUGGAUGGUUUAUGUGUGAGAGGUAAAUGAAAGAUGUGAGUUGAGGGAUUGAGAGAUUAUUGAAUGGUGAGGGAAGAGGGAUGAAGGAUGAAUGAAUUGGAAGUAAAGGGUGAUAUUUAUAAUAGAGGGAUGGUUAAGAAGUUUACUAAAAAUAGUUUAAAUAUCCCUUAAAGUUCUCCUUUGCUUGGCCGUCCAUGAAUUAUGGAAAGGGGAGGUUGUUGGCUGCUUGAUUCAUGCUUGAUUUCAUGCAUGAAUCAAGCAAGGAGGUGGAUGAUUUCUUGGGUAAAAGUUUAGUGUCGAUUUUUAAUUCUUUUACAAGUGUAGGGACCUCUGAAUAAAUCUUUCAAAAGUUGAUUUUGAGCUGCUCAUAUGCCCUUACCGAUUUGGGCUUCUUUCCCCCUUGCUUGGACAAUUUUGUGACACAAUUACUUGUCAGACUUGUUCUUCGAUUAAACCAACUUUAACUAGAUCAAAGUGACAUUCUCCUGACCCAAUUUGCUUGCCUUUUCCGUCCAAAUAAGGUAGAAUAAAGCUCAUGUCCAUGUAUAAUUAAAAUAAGCUUCACAAAUUAUUAACUCCAUGGUCCCACUGCAACAAUUAAAUACAAGAAAUUAUUAUGUAGCACGAAAUAAUUAAAUUAUGCACAAAUUUAAUACAUAAAAGCAUAAAAUUGCAUACUUAAUCAUGUCCACUAUCUCAAUAUAAACAAAACUCAUCCAAUUAGCUAUCAAAUAUUCAGGAUUAACUUAAUUUUUUAAGUAAAAAGAUUCCAUAAACAACUAUAAAAACUCUAUAUAAUUUAGAGUUUACACACCCCCAAACUUAAUCCAUUGCUCAUCUCGAGCAAUGCAAAGCAAAACUUUAGAUAAGGUAAUCUUGCAAUAAGUUUAAGUAGAAUCAACUUUUGCACAUAAACAUACAUCAACAGCUCACAAACUCUUUUUAUUGAUAAGUCACUCAUAUGCAAACAUUAUUUCAUAAUUUUAUACUAAGUACAAAAAAAUGCUAACAUAAGUCAUAGAGUGCAUUUUUUUCAAGGUCAUAUGUAACAUUCACCAUUCAAUCAAAGUUUGCUUACCAAUCAGAUAAAACAAUCACAAGGUUUAAUUAGUGGUCCUCAUAUGUUGAACUUAACAAUUCAUCUCCACUAAUGUAGUUGGCAUAAUUAUCAAAAUCAUUAGGUCUUUUAUAGGAUUGUAAUGGGGUUAGGCUCAAGAUAAGGGUAAAGAGAAGUAAAUUUUUAGGUUUAAUAAUCCUAACCCUAACUUUAUCUUGAAUCUUUUCGAAGUACAUCCUUCCUACUAAUAGGUUUUAGCACACCCAAACUUAAUCUGAAGCUUAUGCCCAAUAAUAUUUUUCAAUAUUUGAGUAUUUAUUUUACUCUUUUUUUGCUUUACAUUUGAAUAGAUCUCUCUCUCUCUCUCUCUUUCUUCCUCUCUUGAACAUACAAAGAACAUAUACAUCUUUUUGAAUUUUUCCUUAAAUUUUGAUCACCAAGACAAGUAGAGUUAAGAUUGGUGUAAUAAAAUAGGAUAAAACUUAAAAAGAUGGUAAUAUGACUAUGAUGUAGGUGAAUAGCAAUAAAAUAGGCUUAAAGGCUCAAACUAGUUUUUAAGGGUUAAAUUCAUAUAGUAGGCUUGAAAGGCUCAAACAGUCCAAAGAAAAUGUGCCCAUAUCAUGUUUAGAUUCUUAUGCCUCCUAAGAUUUUGCCUUAAGAAAGUUACUAAGUCAAUUCUAGGGACUUAAACCUUCAUGCCACAGUCUGUUUCUAAGAAAAUUAAAUUUUCAUAGAAAAAGUCUAUAUAAGACUUCAAAACAUACAAGCAUUUCAUAACUUAAUAUAACAUAAAAAAACUUAGAUAAAAUCAGAAGUCAUAUUUGUAUUUGAACUAACUUAUGAACAAUUUUUUUUCUGAACAUUAUUUUAUUUUAGCAUACUUAUGUGUAAAUAUUGAACCUACUCCCUCCUUAAAAAGAACCAAUGUCCUCAUUAUGUAAACAAAGUAAUGAAUGAGAACUGAACACCAGGUAAGAUAACAACAAAUUCAAUGGCGUGUUUCUUAUUGCCAAAUUCGCUUUGUAAUGAAUUGGAAAGCAUAAUUGGAAAAUUUUUGUGGCAAAAAGAAGCAUGGGAAGCGAUGAAUUUAUUGGUGCGAGUGGAGGAGAUUGUGUAAGUUAAAAGAAGACAAGGAUUUAGGAUUUCAAUGCUUGUCAAAAUUUAAUCUAACAUUAUUAGCAAAACAAGGUUGGCGUCUUAUUUUUUAUCCAAAUUAUUUAUUGGCAAGAUCAUUAAAGGCUAAAUAUUAUCCAUAAACAAAUUUCUUAAAUGCUAUGUUGAACAAUUUACCUUCAUAUGCCAGGAAAAGUGCAUGGGCGACAAAAGGGCUACUAAAGAAAGGUUUGUGCUGGCGAAUCAGAUCUGGAAAUCAAUCUUUGGUUUGGGAAGAUGCGUGGGUGCUAGGUGCUAUGGAUUUCAAAAUUUAAACACAAGCAAACAAUCAGCAUAUACGUCAUGUGUCAGAUUUAAUUGACCAAACUACUAAUAGCUGGAAGGAAGGGGUAAUUAAAACUAUCUUUAAUGAAGAAAAGGAUGAAACGAUUUUGUGUAUCCUUCUUCCAUACGCACCAUAAGAAGACAAACUGGUAUGGCGAGGUAAGGCUUCUGGCGAAUACUCGAUAAGGAGCAGAUACAACAUGAGUACAACACUUUUGUACAAAAAAACUAUGGUUCCUGAAUCUACCUUCUAAAAUAAAAAUUAUGAAUUGGAGGAUCUUCAAUAGCUAUUUUUCUAUCCAAUUUAAUCUAUACCAAAGGAGGUUGGUGGGAUCUGCAAAUUGUCCUAAAUGUACAACUGAAGUGGAAAAUAUUGAGCAUGCCUUUUGGGAUUGUUUAGCUACAAAGGACACAUGGAGAAAGUUAGGCAUAGAUUGGCUGCUAGAAUUAAAUGAACGCCAACUUAAAGACUGGAUGUUGUACCUUUACAACAAUGGCUCAAUACAAAAUUGCCGAAUAAUAGCCUGUUAAUUCUGGGCUUUGUAGACAGCUAGGAACUAAUACCUACAUAAGGGGAUACUUCGAAUAAAAAAUAGCUAGUUUUAUCACAGGUUACAUACAUGAACUAAAGGAAUUUAACAAAAGGUUACCUAAACGAAGAAUAGUGGGGGAACGGUGGAGACCAUCGGAGGAAUCGUUUGUAAAAAUUAACUUUGAUGUUGCGUUUCACAAACAAAGCAAUAGUUCAUGCUCAGGGAUAGUGGUCAGAGAUUCAAGGGGGAGGGUGUUAAUUUUUACAAUGCGCCUAAAUGAGCAUAUACCAAUUGGGUUUGUAGUAGAGGUGAUUGCCUGUGUCUAGACGGUUCAAUUUGGGCUAGAUCUAGGAAUAGUAAAAGCUGAAAUAGAAGGCGAUGCACUAUCAGUCAUAAAAAAGGUACAAUAUGGAAACAUAGAUAAAUCGAAAAUCAGUGCUUACGUUUUAAGCACAAAAAUGCUAAGCUUUGGCUACAAACCAUUCCUAUUUAAACAUACCUCGAGAAUGGAUAAUAAAGUGGCGCAUGCAUUAGCAGUAGAAGGGCUUAAAAGAGCCGAGGUUACUCACCUGCAAAAUGGAUUUCCCCAGUUAGCUACAAUAGAGGCGGAAGAAGACUGUCAAAGGGUAUUGUCAAGAGAAUAAGCAACGGAGUAAAAGCAGCAUGAAAGAUAAAGAAAAUUUGGUAAGAUUGAUAAAGGGCUAUUGUUGCUUGAGGGAUUUAUUGAACGAAAAUCUGGUCAAAAUAAGUUUUGAUAAAAUAAAGAGAUUGGGUUGGGGGGUACCUCGGUUUCAAGCUGAUUAAAUAUCAGCGUUCUUGAGGAGUUGUGAACUCUUAGGAAGAGGUGCCUCUGCUUCUGCCUCGAGGUACGACGAAACGAACGAGCAGUGGAAAAGAAAGAAAUACCGGGUUCUGGACGUUUUCAAGAGUAGUUUUGAUCGUCGGAAAGGUUGGUUUGUUAGGAGUGAUUGUUUGUUUUUCUGCUUUUUUUCUUUUUCUUUUUGUUUUAGGAAACCGAUGGGGUUUCUUUAGGGCAAUAUUAGGUUCUUGGUUCUUUAUUUAUGAGCUUAUUUUACUCUUUAAUUUUAAUGAAUGUAAACUGUCUUUUUUUUUUUAAAAAUAACAUAAUAUAUUUUAUUAGAGUUCAAUGUUAUAUAAAGUUUUGCCUUUAAUUUUUAGGAAUUAAGUGUAGCAUUUAAUUUUAUGUUGUUAGUUAAAA
RNAcentral lists this long non-coding RNA (4583 nucleotides) under Gossypium barbadense (sea-island cotton). RNAcentral describes it as "long non-coding RNA (GBAR_LNC017252)". Lineage: Eukaryota; Viridiplantae; Streptophyta; Magnoliopsida; Malvales; Malvaceae. The record is from RNAcentral.